RNAcentral lists this ribosomal RNA (791 nucleotides) under Priestia megaterium. Its description in RNAcentral is "bacterial SSU rRNA". It matches the Rfam family "Bacterial small subunit ribosomal RNA", at positions 28 to 799 of the family's 1533-position model. Lineage: Bacteria; Bacillati; Bacillota; Bacilli; Caryophanales; Bacillaceae. The record is from RNAcentral.
GAUGAACGCAGGAGGCCGUAUUGUAUUGUUUGUGGUCCGAGGUAUCCGAUUAGAGGCUUGCGCCAAGACUUUAGCGGCGGACGGGUGAGUAACACGUGGGCAACCUGCCUGUAAGACUGGGAUAACUUCGGGAAACCGAAGCUAAUACCGGAUAGGAUCUUCUCCUUCAUGGGAGAUGAUUGAAAGAUGGUUUCGGCUAUCACUUACAGAUGGGCCCGCGGUGCAUUAGCUAGUUGGUGAGGUAACGGCUCACCAAGGCAACGAUGCAUAGCCGACCUGAGAGGGUGAUCGGCCACACUGGGACUGAGACACGGCCCAGACUCCUACGGGAGGCAGCAGUAGGGAAUCUUCCGCAAUGGACGAAAGUCUGACGGAGCAACGCCGCGUGAGUGAUGAAGGCUUUCGGGUCGUAAAACUCUGUUGUUAGGGAAGAACAAGUAUGAGAGUAACUGCUCGUACCUUGACGGUACCUAACCAGAAAGCCACGGCUAACUACGUGCCAGCAGCCGCGGUAAUACGUAGGUGGCAAGCGUUAUCCGGAAUUAUUGGGCGUAAAGCGCGCGCAGGCGGUUUCUUAAGUCUGAUGUGAAAGCCCACGGCUCAACCGUGGAGGGUCAUUGGAAACUGGGGAACUUGAGUGCAGAAGAGAAAAGCGGAAUUCCACGUGUAGCGGUGAAAUGCGUAGAGAUGUGAUCGAACACCAGUGGCGAAGGCGGCUUUUUGGUCUGUAACUGACGCUGAGGCGCGAAAGCGUGGGGAGCAACCAGGAUUAGAUACCCUGGUAGUCCACG